This is a long non-coding RNA of Drosophila virilis, 226 nucleotides long. RefSeq lists it as uncharacterized. Lineage: Eukaryota; Metazoa; Arthropoda; Insecta; Diptera; Drosophilidae. The record is from RefSeq and is a predicted model, not a curated record.
UAUAUAAAACAUUUAUGUGCAUUUAUAUAUUUGGUCGUAUAAAUCCUUCAUAAGAGAUAACAAUAGGCAUAACAAUAAUAAGGACAAUUCUUUAGCAAAAGUGGAGAACAAGAACGAGGCACGGAAAGAAAUUCACAUAAUUUUUUCAAGCUUCCGUCUCUUUAUUGAAUGAAAUAAUAGUAAAUAAUGAAAAAGAAGCGCUGUAAUAAACUGAGGCUUAACUUUU